CGUUUUUUGUUCCUUCAUUUUAUCUCUAUAUCUUAUAUAAAUAUAAUUCUCAAGUUUUGUAUUUUAUCACAAUACACAUAAAAUAAGUCUGCUGUAGUAUACAGAUUGUGUCAUCACUACUUACGUCACAAAUACCGUAUAAUCGAAAAAAAAAUCGCCAUCGCUGACGCCGUUUUUUUUCGAUCAUAUAGUAUACCGGGUGUUGCAUCGUCGGACGGGACAACCCUAGUUUAAGCAUCCGUUUAUUGUUGUAGAUUGUAGAUUGUAUGGGAGAAACCUCCUAAACAUUUUACAUUCUACGAUGUCAUGUAUCGAAAUUACCAUAUACAAACUAAAAUAUUAUGGGAAACUGAAAUUGAGAUCUUUGAAAGGACCUUUUUACCGCAACCAGUUAUACACAAAUUUAUUAGUUUUGUGACGAACCACCGGUCGCGCUUAAGGCGAAAAUAUUUAAGCAGUUCAAAUCAAAUCAAGUCAGUUCUAAUCAAAUAAUAUGUACCGUCAAAAAUCGAAAAAAGUUUUAGUGGAAUUUUAGUGAUUAUUUAAACUUUUUAUUAAAAACAAUGAUGGAAUCAGGCCGUAAACCCUUUCAUAAUUAUGUUGUUCCGAUGCCGGAUUUGUUUUCCAAAAGACAUACAUUCUCGAAGAACGAUCCUACAUUAUUUCAAAAGUGAUAUCAAGUGCGAAACCUUAAAAUGGAAAAUACAACACAGCAAGAUAUUUAAAAGAUUUAUAGAGUUUGUGAUUUACAUUUUUGUAAUCAAGAUCGUACCUGGAAUAAAAAGAGGUUUAGAAGUUAAUUCUAAAGUUUUUGUAUACACCAGUUCAUAUGGGUAAGUAUAUGCAUUUAGUUAAAUAAAGAACGUUUUCAGAUAUUUUGAUCUAAUAAAAUUAAAAUAAUCUUUUAGAUGAUCAACCUACUGGUAAUUUGGUGUCCAGUGAUGUCGAUCCAGGUACAAACCCUGUAUUUAAAGACAAACAUUUGUUGUACAACUUGUUGAUGGACCACUCUCUCGUUGGUAUUAGACACGUACUGAGAUAAAAGCAGUAACUGAAAAGGAGAAAGGAUCAGAUAACCCAAAUCAGGAAUCUUCCAGAGUGCAGAUGAUGCAGUUUUUGUGAGUGAGGUAUAAUAUCUGUCUCUUGUAAGACCUCUUUUAAGAAUUUAACCCAGGCAGUUGUUUACAACCAAGUUAGAUCUCAAGCAUAACAAAGGAAUCGUAGAACCUGUGAAUUCAGUUUAAUUACUGAGAUCAAGGAUGAUGAAACAUUCAUUAUGAUUAUACAGAGCUACAAAGAGUUAUGUUGAGAAUCCAAAUUAUCAUAAUGAAUUGAGACGAGACAACACCUGGGUGGAAAUUGACGAAAAAUGUAGAUAAAAGGCAUUUUUAUAUUAACGCUAUGAAUCCAAUGUUUUUAUCAAAUCGUCACAUAGAUAAUAUUUCUCUACGCAUAAUACUAAAAUUAAAAAGGUCAGGUUAAAACAACUUUAAUUAUCCAUCGCGUGCGAAAAACAGUGCUUCGCAUGGCUUCGGCUUCGGCGCGCUUCGCUCAAGUGCUCAUCAUGCUUUAAACUUUUGCGAAGCGCCAAAAUGUCAUUGGAUUAAUUGCAUGUAUUUUGAUUCUUCGCGUUACUUCGCUUGGUCUGCAUUUUUAUACAUAGAUACCAUUGAUCCAAUUCACAUUUUUUCGCCGCGCUUCGAAUAAGUUCGCGACAAAACUUUGUUAGUUGUAUUUUAUAUUAUUUAAUGCUAUUGUAUUGAUUUAUAAUUAUUAUUGUAUUUAUAUGAACAAGUUAAGUAUAGCAAUGCCGUGCGAGCCUUCGUCUGAAGAAGAAAUUUAAUUUAUUGUAUAAUUUGUAUUAUUUACUUUUUUUAAUAAAGCUAUUA
This is a long non-coding RNA of Sitophilus oryzae (rice weevil), 1889 nucleotides long. RefSeq lists it as uncharacterized. The transcript has 3 exons. The record is from RefSeq and is a predicted model, not a curated record. NCBI's taxonomy places the organism in Eukaryota, Metazoa, Arthropoda, Insecta, Coleoptera, Curculionidae.